Molecule: long non-coding RNA, 3929 nt
Filed under: Heterocephalus glaber (naked mole-rat)
Lineage: Eukaryota; Metazoa; Chordata; Mammalia; Rodentia; Bathyergidae
Description: lncRNA (ENSHGLG00100040434.1)
Source: RNAcentral
GAGCCGGCCGUACCUGCGGGCCCGCGAAGUAAGAGGGAGAGGCGUCCGAGGAGGACGUGGGCCCCGGAGCGGGAAGCGCCGGGUCGCGGGACAAUGGCUGGGAAGACGGAGCUCCGGCUGUCGGCGGAGAUUCGAGGGAAGCGGCGGCGUCCGCGCAGGACGGCUCUUCGGGUGGGAGGAGCCCCAGCACCUUGCCCUGUGGGGUUCACCCGGCCUCCCGCCCUGGGUUAGCCGAGGCGGCUGUGUGUGCGUCUGUGUACACAGCACAUUUUUUCUUCUCGGUUUCUUUCUUUGAGAACCCAAUUUGAAGGAAUUUUGCAGAUUUUGUUGCUAUUUAAACAAAAAGAAAGCGGCCCGCGUCUGAAGGCGGCGCUGGCCUUAAGGUCAGCAGGCGACCCCACGAGGCCGGAGGAGCUCUGCAAACGAUGGGAGAGGCGGCAGCGGCGAGGUGUCCGGGAUUCAGAUCGCGCCAGGCCUGAUCCAGACCUUGGAUGGCUUGGCAGCGUGGUUGCCAGGCCGGGCGGCCCCGGAAGAGGGCUUGGCCUCCCCAGGAGAGGCUAGAGAGAGACUCCUGCUCCCGGAAGCCAGGCUGCCAUGGGCACCAGCUCCCCGGGGUUCCAGGUGCCCCUAAGCUUUCUCCACGCUCUAGGAAAGGCCUUCUAGCAAAGGACCCAGGCGAGAAGAGGUGCUGAGGUGUCCCAACUCUGGUUGAAUUGACCAGAUGAAGAAGAGAAACCUAGGUGGCUUUAGUGAAGCUGUUGACCUGCAAAUGUCAAAAGCCUUUUCUUUGAGACUCAUGGCUCUGCAAGUCUGAAGAAGAUUAGGAAGCAAGACAGGAUUGUGGCAAGGUUCAAACCUUUUGACUUUGGGUAACAACGUAAGGUUUUCUGUUAAAGGGCACUUCCUGUUGUGGCAGGGUGCACCAGGCAACCUCAGAUUGGGCCUCUGCCCCUCUGGGAGCACUGUGACUUGGAAAGACCCCAAAAAAGUAAUCUUUUUUUUUUUAAUACUGAGAAUCCAACUCAGAACAUUGCGCUUGCCAGGCAGUCUGCCACGCAAUCUCGGUGCCAUUGAGCUACAUCCCGGCCUCAAGGGUAAUCUCUUUAUGUGGAAAUUCUGAGGUAGCAUCAUAUGAAGCGAGAGCUCCUAACUUGGAUCUGUGGAAUUCAUUCUUUUGAUGGAAGACCAUGCACUUUUCCCUCAAGGAGGGCUCACUACUAGUCAGGGAAUCCUACAGCCAGUCACACCACUCCGGUGGUCACUCCGGAGCUUCCAGUGGUUGAGAGCCUUGACCCCCAGGUCAGCCUCGGGAGAAAUAACUAUGACUACACAACAAUACCCAUAAUACCUAAGCCCUUCAAAAAUAGAGUGUUUCUGUUGCUGCUGUAUGACUCAGACUUUGUCCUCCAAGGAAAAAAACAGUUUAAAAGAGCAAAACAAUAAAUGAGAAGGGCAAAAUAGUAAAUUGAUUUAAACAAAGUCAGCUUCAAUUCUCUUCCAGAGAGGAGGAUACGGUGCAGGCUGCGUGGUAAAUCAUUUAUUCAUCCACAGUAUUUCUUGGGAUGCUGCGUGCAGCUGGCAAGAACAGGACUCAUUUCCGGUUCCAUACCGUAAAUCAGUUAGCAUGAUCUGGUUAUGCUUGGGCAAUAUUUUAAAACAUUCGAGCACAAAUUAAUAUAUUAUUACUUAGCUUUGCAUUGAAGCACAUGUGCCUAUUUUAAUGAAGAAACCCCUUCUCCAAUCAGCCCUGGGGCUUUCUCCAACACACUUUGCUUUUUUCAUGUUAGGUCUUUUUAUGGACCUGUAAGAAGCUUUAAUUAGAUAUACAGCACUGUACAAAGUGACAAGAUGGAACAUGCACACUUGCAUUAGAGUCUCUGUGAUUCAGAUCUCAAAAAACAACAUAAUGCCACUGAUAUACAGAAGGAGUUGUUUAUUGGAAGGAAACCAGGGAGGUGCAACAAAUUAGAUCAAGAUGUGAAAAUCAAGCAGACUCAUGAAAAAAAUUGCCAUUUUUACUUUGGAACUCUCUCCAAAGGAGCAUGUGUAACAAGAGAACAGUUUGACGAUUUUAGUUUUCUUAAGAAUAUUUGGACUUGUUUUAUGGCCUAUCUUAAAGAAUGCCCUAUGUGUACUUGGAAAGAAUAUGUAUGUUGUAAAAAUAAAUGCUGACGAGGAUGCCGGGUGAAGAAACUCUACACUGCUGAUGGGAAUGCAAAUUAGUACAGACACUAUGGAAAUCAUUAUGGAGAUUCCUCAAAAAAACCUAAAAAUAGAACUGCCAUAUGACUGAAGCUAUACCACUCCUUGGUCUAGACCUAAAUGAACUAAAGCCAGCAUCCUCUAGGAAUACCUGCAUCCCUGUGUUUAUCAUGGUACAAUUCACAGUAGUCAAGAUGUGGAACGAACCAGCCUAGGUGUCCAUCAAGAGAUGAAUGGAUAAAGGAAAUGCAUUAUAUUUUAUGUAUACAUUAUACAUUACAAUGUGAAUAAUAUAUAAUGGAGUAUUAUUUAGCUGUAAAGAAGGGGAAGUAUGUCAUUUGCAAGAAAAUGGAUGGAACUGGAGAUCUUCAUAUUAAAAUAAGCCAGACUCAGAAAGACAUGUAUCACGUGUUCUCCGUAGUAUGUGGGAACAUAAAACAAAAUGGUGUGAAAGUAGAAGGGAAACUAUUACUAGACAAGAGGAAAGAAAUAAGGGAAGGGGAAUGUAAGGGGGCUAAUAGGAAAGAUGGAUCUGAUUAAAAUACAUGCGUGUAUGAAAAUACUGCCUUAAAACCCAAUGUUUUGUAAAAUUAAUAGACACUAAUACAAUAUAGUUUAAAAACAAGAAGUGCGCAUUCUGUUGUUACUGGAUGGGGUGAUCUGUAUCAGUUAGAUCCUGUUGGUGAAUGGGGUUGUUCAAGUUUUCUUUAAUCGUGGUGAUUUUCUGGUAGCUAUUCUAUCGAUUAUUGAGAGUAGGUAUAAAAAUCUCCAGAAAUUUGCUCCUUCCUUCAAACAAGGGUGAACCCUUGAACAGCAGAUGGGGAUUUCAUGCCAUGAUCAUGUGAUACAGCAGAAAGCUGUCUGAGGAUCUACUCUCAUCACGUGAGCCCUGCAGCAACAGUGAAUUCUCUACGGUUUGUGGGCAGAAGAGGAAAUUAGACAAACUCAAAGCAUGAGAAGAACCCAUGUACCGUUGCUUUGAAGAUGGAGGGCCCACACAGAUAGGACCAGAAUGAAGCCUCUAGAAGCUACAUGAUCCCCAGUCGACAGCUAAAAAGCAGGACCUCAGUCCUACAGCUGCAAAGAAUUGAAUUCUUCCAGCAACCUGACUGAGCUUGGUGGCAGAUUGUUUCCUGGAGCCUCAAGAUAACAGCCAUUAUGUGAUUUCAGCCUGGGGAGGCACUGGGCAGAGAACGUGGUCCGGGCAGCUGGACAUCUGCCCAACAGAACCAUAUGUUGCUAAGGCUAAGUUGCUGAGACUGUGGUCACUUGUUAGGUGGUGUUAGAAAAUGAAUACGGCUGUGUCAAGUUUUACUCCACCAUGGUUACAAGUCCUGCCUCCUUGCAGAGUUAAUAUUGAAAAAUAAAAUUCGAGAUUUCUGAAUUCUUUUAACAAAUGGAAAGAUCUUGUCAUUGGAGAUUUAAAUUUCUAAUGUCUGCUAGAACGGAACAGUGGUUCUCCAUAUACUCCUGCUAGCCAGGGUCUAGCUCCUCUGGUUCACCUGUCUUUCACACCAAGCCAACAUCCCCAAUUACAGGCCUGGCUGGGGAAUUUGUGAAUCUGUGACGCUGGAUUGGCACGUGCCCAGCUGGUAGUGAAUGCUCAGGUGCAGUUGCUGAAUUAGUGAGCAGGCAACAUGUAGGAGGCACUUACACAUGGCCAGGAAAUGGACAUAGGGGAGGACAAGGCUGGUGGCGAUGUAUCCUUCAGUGCACCCAGGGAGGGC